AACGAACGCUGGCGGCAUGCCUAACACAUGCAAGUCGAACGAGACCUUCGGGUCUAGUGGCGCACGGGUGCGUAACGCGUGGGAACCUGCCCUUAGGUUCGGAAUAACUCCCCGAAAGGGGUGCUAAUACCGGAUAAUGUCUUCGGACCAAAGAUUUAUUGCCGUUGGAUGGGCCCGCGUUGGAUUAGCUAGUUGGUAGGGUAAAAGCCUACCAAGGCGACGAUCCAUAGCUGGUCUGAGAGGAUGAUCAGCCACACUGGGACUGAGGCACGGCCCAGACUGCUACGGAAGGCAGCAGUGGGGAAUAUUGGACGAGGGGCGAAAGCCUGAUCCAGCAAUGCCGGGUGAGUGAUGAAGGCCUUAGGGUUGUAAAGCUCUUUUACCCGGGAUGAUAAUGACAGUACCGGGAGAAUAAGCUCCGGCUAACUCCGUG
RNAcentral lists this ribosomal RNA (433 nucleotides) under uncultured bacterium. Its description in RNAcentral is "partial 16S ribosomal RNA". It matches the Rfam family "Bacterial small subunit ribosomal RNA", at positions 29 to 507 of the family's 1533-position model. The record is from RNAcentral.